This 207-nucleotide ribosomal RNA is filed under the name uncultured bacterium. RNAcentral describes it as "partial 16S ribosomal RNA". It matches the Rfam family "Bacterial small subunit ribosomal RNA", at positions 568 to 774 of the family's 1533-position model. The record is from RNAcentral.
CACGUAGGCGGAUAGGUCAGUCAGAUGUGAAAGCCCGGAGCUUAACUCCGGAACUGCAUUUGAUACUACUUGUCUUGAGUAUGGUAGAGGGGGUCGGAAUUCCCGGUGUAGAGGUGAAAUUCGUAGAUAUCGGGAGGAACACCAGAGGCGAAGGCGACCCCCUGGGCCAUAACUGACGCUGAGGUGCGAAAGCGUGGGGAGCAAACA